UGAGGAAUAUUGGUCAAUGGGCGGAAGCCUGAACCAGCCAUGCCGCGUGCGGGAAGAAGGCCCUACGGGUUGUAAACCGCUUUUCCCCGGGAAGAAUAACCCCGACGCGUCGGGGGAUGCCGGUACCGGGGGAAUAAGGAUCGGCUAACUCCGUG
This 155-nucleotide ribosomal RNA is filed under the name uncultured Bacteroidales bacterium. RNAcentral describes it as "partial 16S ribosomal RNA". It matches the Rfam family "Bacterial small subunit ribosomal RNA", at positions 355 to 507 of the family's 1533-position model. The record is from RNAcentral. Lineage: Bacteria; Pseudomonadati; Bacteroidota; Bacteroidia; Bacteroidales.